Molecule: ribosomal RNA, 691 nt
Filed under: Clavaria argillacea
Lineage: Eukaryota; Fungi; Basidiomycota; Agaricomycetes; Agaricales; Clavariaceae
Description: eukaryotic LSU rRNA
Rfam family: 5.8S ribosomal RNA (bases 263-416)
Source: RNAcentral
AGUAAAAGUCGUAACAAGGUUUCCGUAGGUGAACCUGCGGAAGGAUCAUUAUCAAUUUUUAAAGAUGUGCUGGCACUCCUUCACUGGUUUGCAUGUGCACUCUACAAAAUCUCCUUCUCUUACCCCACUGUGCACACUCAAGUAGACAAACAGAGUUGCAGAGCAAUCUGUGUAAUUCCUGAUUUGUCUAUGUUUUUAUCAAACACCAAUAACAAUUUCAGAAUGAUCUACAGUAAGCUUUUGACAAGCUGAAAUCUAAUACAACUUUCAACAAUGGAUCUCUUGGUUCUCGCAUCGAUGAAGAACGCAGCGAAUUGCGAUAUGUAAUGUGAAUUGCAGAAUUCAGUGAAUCAUCGAAUCUUUGAACGCACCUUGCACCCUCUGGUAUUCCGGAGGGUAUGCCUGUUUGAGUGUCAUUAAUCUCUCAACACAAGAAAAUUUGUCUUGUGCUUGGAUAUUGAAGGUUUUGCUGGUGCAAACAACUGCCAGCUCCUUUUAAAUGUAUUAGCAGAGCAGUGUAGGACUGGCCUCGGUUUGAUAAGAAACUUUAUCUAUGCUGUCGCUGGGUUUCCUCUUUGUGCUCAGCUUCAAAUUGUCUUCGGACUGUCUCUUGAGGCAACAAAUCUCUAUUGAUCGACCUCAAAUCAGGUAGGACUACCCGCUGAACUUAAGCAUAUCAAUAAGCGGAGGA